This 66-nucleotide small nuclear RNA is filed under the name Cervus elaphus hippelaphus. It matches the Rfam family "Small nucleolar RNA U3", at positions 1 to 66 of the family's 219-position model. Rfam says of the family: Small nucleolar RNAs (snoRNAs) are involved in the processing and modification of rRNA in the nucleolus. There are two main classes of snoRNAs: the box C/D class, and the box H/ACA class. U3 snoRNA is a member of the box C/D class. The record is from RNAcentral. Lineage: Eukaryota; Metazoa; Chordata; Mammalia; Artiodactyla; Cervidae.
AAGACUGUACUUUCAGGGAUCAUUUCUAUAGUUUGUUACUAGUGAAGUUUCUCUGAUCCUGUAAAG